AUACUCUGGUUUUUCUUCUGAUUGGACAAGUCUUCCAUGGAGAGAAACAGAUCUGAGUUUGUGACCAAUUUUUUGAAAGCCUUGUUUUGGUAAGGCUU
Otolemur garnettii (small-eared galago) is the source of this 98-nucleotide small nuclear RNA. Its record names the gene U5. It matches the Rfam family "U5 spliceosomal RNA". From Rfam's summary of the family: U5 RNA is a component of both types of known spliceosome. The precise function of this molecule is unknown, though it is known that the 5' loop is required for splice site selection and p220 binding, and that both the 3' stem-loop and the Sm site are important for Sm protein binding and cap methylation. NCBI's taxonomy places the organism in Eukaryota, Metazoa, Chordata, Mammalia, Primates, Galagidae. The record is from Ensembl.